UCACAUUUAAAAUGAGAUAAAUAAUAGAAUAACAAUAAAUAAAACACAAAAAAUCGACUCAAAUUUAAAGAAAUGAAAAUUUCCAUUUUUCUAUCUAAAAAUAAUCCAUAAAACAAACCUGAAAUUAAAGACAAAUAAAACAUUUUUUUAAUAAAAAAAUGACUCUAACCUAACCCAACGGGUUGGCACGCUUGAUCCGCGGGUUGGCCCGUCUAACCCGCGGGUUAAACGAGCCAGGUUGCACUAACCCAAGUUCUUUUCGAGCUGGAAUUUAACCAACCCAACCCGGCUCAUUUAGCCAACUCGUUGAGUUGGCCCGCGGGUUGGAACCCAUAUUGACAGCUCUACCACCCCUGUCAGAUUCCGGCAGCCGGGGAACCCCCUUCCGGCGAGCUUCACCACCUUCUUCUCCUUCUCUGUCACCAACCUCAACCCCUCAUGAAUUGUUAUAUCUGAGAUCUUGGCUCAUAGAUGCAGGUGGGUGCGGAGAAAGAGGCACGACGAUUAAAAAAGGGCCAUGUGCACUGAUAAAAUCUUGAUCGUUUAAGGGCGAUUACCGGCGGCGGCGGGGUGAAGGUUGGUUGAGGAGAGGGGCGGAGGGGACGGGUGCACGACGGAAGCGGGCGUGGCCGUUGCGGUUGAGGAGGGUGAUGAGUUUUUAGAUCUGUUUGGAUGUGAGAGGGUUGAUGAGAGAGGAGAUUGAUGAGAUUGAGGGAUGCGAAGAAGAUGAAGCAGGUGAAACUUUGAUAGAGAGAAAAAAAAAAAAGUGGGUUUAUGUGAAACGGUGUCACG
This 792-nucleotide long non-coding RNA is filed under the name Lotus japonicus. Its description in RNAcentral is "long non-coding RNA (LJAP_LNC001698)". The record is from RNAcentral. Lineage: Eukaryota; Viridiplantae; Streptophyta; Magnoliopsida; Fabales; Fabaceae.